AUUGAACGCUGGCGGCAUGCUUUACACAUGCAAGUCGAACGGUAACAGGCCUUCGGGUGCUGACGAGUGGCGAACGGGUGCGUAAUGCAUCGGAACGUACCCAGAGGUGGGGGAUAACGCAGCGAAAGCUGUGCUAAUACCGCAUGUGAUCUGAGGAUGAAAGCGGGGGACCGAGCAGCAAUGUUUGGCCUCGCGCCUUUGGAGCGGCCGAUGUCGGAUUAGCUAGUUGGUGGGGUAAAGGCCUACCAAGGCGACGAUCCGUAGCUGGUCUGAGAGGACGACCAGCCACACUGGGACUGAGACACGGCCCAGACUCCUACGGGAGGCAGCAGUGGGGAAUUUUGGACAAUGGGCGCAAGCCUGAUCCAGCAAUGCCGCGUGCGGGAAGAAGGCCUUCGGGUUGUAAACCGCUUUUGGCAGGAACGAAACGGUGUCCGCUAAUACCGGGCGCUAAUGACGGUACCUGCAGAAUAAGCACCGGCUAACUCCGUG
RNAcentral lists this ribosomal RNA (492 nucleotides) under uncultured bacterium. Its description in RNAcentral is "partial 16S ribosomal RNA". It matches the Rfam family "Bacterial small subunit ribosomal RNA", at positions 29 to 507 of the family's 1533-position model. The record is from RNAcentral.